UACAGAGGGUGCAAGCGUUGUUCGGAUUUACUGGGCGUAAAGCGCGUGUAGGCGGUGGCGUAAGUCGGAUGUGAAAUCCCUCGGCUUAACCGGGGAACUGCGUCUGAUACUGGAUGGCUUGAGUUUGGGAGAGGGAUGCGGAAUUCCAGGUGUAGCGGUGAAAUGCGUAGAUAUCUGGAGGAACACCGGUGGCGAAGGCGGCAUCCUGGACCAACACUGACACUGAGGAGCGAAAGCCAGGGGAGCAAACGGG
RNAcentral lists this ribosomal RNA (253 nucleotides) under uncultured bacterium. RNAcentral describes it as "partial 16S ribosomal RNA". It matches the Rfam family "Bacterial small subunit ribosomal RNA", at positions 524 to 776 of the family's 1533-position model. The record is from RNAcentral.